AUUAAUGAAGUUGGUUUGACAGGUACCUGUGGCUGGUGAGCAAAAAGAAUGAUUCUUGACCAUGCUGAGAGCUUACCCAAUCCAUCAGUGUUAACCCAGACAGAUAUUAGCUUUCGUUUGACGCCCCAGAGAGAAGUACCAAUAAGAAAUCAUCAUUUCCAUGAUGAAAGGCCAGCUAUAGGCAGUUUAUGCCUGAUGUGGUUCCAGGAAUCCCUCAAGAACCUGGCUACGGAUCUCAACCUCAUUAUCCAACAUGACUGCCAGCUCUCCAACCAUCACAUCUGUUUCAAGAAACAGAAUAGAAAAAAAUGA
Molecule: long non-coding RNA, 312 nt
Organism: Pan paniscus (pygmy chimpanzee)
Lineage: Eukaryota; Metazoa; Chordata; Mammalia; Primates; Hominidae
Source: Ensembl